Molecule: ribosomal RNA, 465 nt
Filed under: uncultured bacterium
Lineage: Bacteria
Description: partial 16S ribosomal RNA
Rfam family: Bacterial small subunit ribosomal RNA
Source: RNAcentral
CCUACGGGAGGCAGCAGUGGGGAAUUUUGCGCAAUGCUCGCAAGAGUGACGCAGCGACGCCGCGUGAAUGACGAAGGCCUUCGGGUCGUAAAGUUCUUUCGACAGGGAGGAAAAUGCCUAUAAGUAACUGUGUAUGUAUUGACGGUACCUGUAUAAGCAGCCCCGGCUAACUCCGUGCCAGCAGCCGCGGUAAUACGGAGGGUGCGAGCGUUGUUCGGAGUGACUGGGCGUAAAGAGCACGUAGGCGGUGUUGUAAGUCAGUAGUGAAAUCCUAGGGCUCAACUUUAGUAAGGCUAGUGAUACUAUACUACUAGAGUAUCAGAGAGGUGUGCAGAAUUCCAGGUGUAGCGGUGAAAUGCGUAGAGAUCAGGAGGAAUACCGUUAGCGAAGGCGGCCAUCUGGCUGAAAACUGACGCUGAGGUGCGAAAGCGUGGGUAGCAAACAGGAUUAGAUACCCCUGUAGUC